AUAGGGUCGAAAAGUCCUUGCACGCCUGUGCUUGCACAGAGGUGUGCAAGACCUUGAGACCCGCCCGACAUGAGCAUAAAAGCGGAGCGAAGCUUCGCGAUAUGCGAAUGGCGGGGAGAGGAUUGUGGGAGCUGCUUUGCAGCGGAGCAAUCCGG
RNAcentral lists this small RNA (155 nucleotides) under human gut metagenome. RNAcentral's name for it is "Clostridiales-1 RNA". It matches the Rfam family "Clostridiales-1 RNA". The record is from RNAcentral.